CCUGCACAGGCACGGGUUAAUAGGGAAUUCAUUUACCCCAUGUUUAAUGCAUGAGCCUCGGUACAGAUGUGAUGAUACACACUGACACAUUACAUUGACACCCCUUCUGCUGGCCUUCAGACUGCCAGAGAUAAGGAGCCCAGCAGCGGCGCGGACUCGCGGGGGCAGAGCGGUCGCGAGCCAGGUAGCCCGUGCAAGUACACAUGCAGCGCGGUUGGCAAGGUACGGCGCGAAAGAAGUCCAUCAAACACGCUGUACAACACGCCCACGUGUCGAGGGGGUGGGAUGGAGGAGAGCCCAUUGUCAAAGUGCCGAGUGAGCCCCUCGACGUUUUGCCGACCAGUCAGUGCGAGUUCUCAAAUGAGCCGUUGAAGCGGCGUUCACCUCCUGUUUAACUACUCCGAGAGAGCGGUGGAAAUUCCACAUUCCUAUGGCGUGGGUGAGAAGAUGAAUGGAGAAUGCUAUAAAGAAGGGACAUUUUUUUACUGAAGCGUAGCAUGUUAUAUGUAUCUAUGUAUAUGUUCUUCUUCUUUAGGGCCAAAUGGUGCUUUUGACGAAUGUGUUGAGUGUUUUGUGUUCACUGCGCUUGUGCACAACUUCCAACGAAGCAGCAGCACCACAUAAUUCGUUUGAUCUCCAAAUUACAGAUGAUCUAAAAUGCUGCUAUCCUCCUUAUCACCCGCACCAUGAAAUGAGACCGCAUAUCCCCAACACUGAAAUCCCUGCACCUGCUCCCAACCCAAUCCCGGAUUAGUUUCAAGAUCGCACUCAAGGUUUUUAAGGUCCUCCGUGAAGUUGCCCCUGCCUACCCCUCCCCUCUCAU
Lethenteron reissneri (Far Eastern brook lamprey) is the source of this 823-nucleotide long non-coding RNA. RefSeq lists it as uncharacterized. The record is from RefSeq and is a predicted model, not a curated record. Lineage: Eukaryota; Metazoa; Chordata; Hyperoartia; Petromyzontiformes; Petromyzontidae.